UCGAGGGUCAAAAGCUUUUUUUACCGAUAUUAUGCUUCUUUUGCAUUGUUUUGUAGUGAUUUUGAUGAAAGUGAAGAUUGGGGUUGAAGAUGAAGGUCUUAGACUCAAGAUAGACCAAGAAAAUUGAAGAAAGGAAGAGUCAAGAAACCGCCCGGCGGCAAAAUUUACUGUUGGGCGGUCCAAGGCGAGGAGAAGGCACCUGGCGUGGGCGUUGGGCGGAUUUGCGAUUAGAGGCAAACCGAAGGGCGGUGGCCCCCUGCCGCCGGGCGGUGGCGUGAUUAGGGGCAAACCGUCGGGCGACAUAAGUGUGCCGCCGGGCGGUUGUCCGCUGGGCCUAGGCCUGUUUUCUGUGAUGCUCCUCAGCUAUAAAUAGCCCUGUUACAAUUUCAUUCUUAUUCUUUUGACAGAAGAGGGCGGCCAGACCUAAUUUUCACUCUCUAGAGAGGAUCUCUUGGAUGCUUAGGCUCCUUUUCAUCUUAUCUAGGGUUUGCUUUUCCAUUCUUCCAUUAUUAUCAUCUAAGUUCACCAUGACAAUGGUGAACUAAACCCUUAUGUUGUUGGGGGAAACAAUGUAAUCUUUUGAAACUCUCUUUUAUUGAAACUCUUGUUUAUUUAUAUGAUUCUUCAUAUGCUUUGAUUAUCAAUUGUUGGGUUCUCAUCUAUGCUUAAUGUUUUAUCGUUUAACUCAUUCAAUAACUGUUGUUUGUCUCUAUUGAUCCGGGAACGUACAGUACUGUCAUGAAAUGAUGAGAAAUUCCUUGAUUAAGCAAUACCAACCUAGGGAUAGGGGGUAGGACGAUCAAUUGUUUUUGCUUCUGUUCUUAAUGCAUUAUUAAUUGCUAGGGGAGGCUAGGGAUAGCAAGCCGGUAAUUAAUAAUAGGCUCUUCUCUCCGAGGGAUCGGGUUAACGCUAGGCCAAGAAAGUUUGCAUAACAAUGAGAUAAUCAAGCACAUUAAACAAGAGGAGUAGAUAAGAGGGAGUGAAUAAGAUGAAAUUGUAAACCCCCAACAACUUCAUUCAUCCAUAGUCUUUUUCGUCAAUUGAAUCAAACACAUUGCAUGUUUAUUUUCUGUCUUUGCAUCCACAACAAUUAAUUCUUUCUCUACAAGUCUUACGAUUUUAAUUCACACGAACGAUCCUUUCGAGUCUCUUGGGAAAAACGAUAUCGGGCAUUACCGAUUAUAUUACUUGCACGAUCUGGUACACUUGCCAAUGAGUCAACAAGUUUUUGGCACCGUUGCCGGGAACUCGAGGUUAUUUUUAGUAGUGUGAAUUGAUUGACAUUUUUCUUGUUUG
RNAcentral lists this long non-coding RNA (1296 nucleotides) under Vigna radiata. Its description in RNAcentral is "long non-coding RNA (VRAD_LNC013396)". The record is from RNAcentral. Lineage: Eukaryota; Viridiplantae; Streptophyta; Magnoliopsida; Fabales; Fabaceae.